CCAAGGAGUCUAACAUGUGCGCGAGUCAUUGGGUCCCACUACACCCAAGGCGUAUUGAACGAAAAGGCCGGCCUCCGCGCCGGCCGAGGGAAGAUGGGGUUGCGCCUGCGUAAUCCUCGCAUUCCCGGGGCGUCUCGUCCUACCGCCGCUCGUCGGCGGAAGGUGAGGCGCACCAAGAGCGCACACGUUGGGACCCGAAAGAUGGUGAACUAUGCCUGGCCAGGACGAAGUCAGGGGAAACCCUGAUGGAGGUCCGUAGCGAUUCUGACGUGCAAAUCGAUCGUCGGAGCUGGGUAUAGGGGCGAAAGACUAAUCGAACCAUCUA
RNAcentral lists this ribosomal RNA (325 nucleotides) under Choroterpes sp. GG-2004. RNAcentral's name for it is "eukaryotic LSU rRNA". It matches the Rfam family "Eukaryotic large subunit ribosomal RNA", at positions 666 to 946 of the family's 3401-position model. Lineage: Eukaryota; Metazoa; Arthropoda; Insecta; Ephemeroptera; Leptophlebiidae. The record is from RNAcentral.